UAGGGAAUCUUCGGCAAUGGACGAAAGUCUGACCGAGCAACGCCGCGUGAGUGAAGAAGGUCUUCGGAUCGUAAAACUCUGUUGUUAGAGAAGAACAAGGACGUUAGUAACUGAACGUCCCCUGACGGUAUCUAACCAGAAAGCCACGGCUAACUACGUGCCAGCAGCCGCGGUAAUACGUAGGUGGCUAGCGUUGUCCGGAUUUAUUGGGCGUAAAGCGAGCGCAGGCGGUUUCUUAAGUCUGAUGUGAAAGCCCCCGGCUCAACCGGGGAGGGUCAUUGGAAACUGGGGGACUUGAGGGCAAAAGAGGAGAGUGGAAUUCCAUGUGUAGCGGUGAAAUGAGUAGAUAUAUGGAGGAACACGAGUGGCGAAGGCGGCUCUCUGGUCUGUAACUGACGCUGAGGCUCGAAAGCGUGGGGAGCAAACAGG
RNAcentral lists this ribosomal RNA (429 nucleotides) under Gemmatimonadota bacterium. Its description in RNAcentral is "Gemmatimonadetes bacterium partial 16S ribosomal RNA". It matches the Rfam family "Bacterial small subunit ribosomal RNA", at positions 355 to 776 of the family's 1533-position model. The record is from RNAcentral. Lineage: Bacteria; Pseudomonadati; Gemmatimonadota.